Molecule: long non-coding RNA, 3957 nt
Organism: Chelonia mydas (Green sea turtle)
Lineage: Eukaryota; Metazoa; Chordata; Testudines; Cheloniidae
Exons: 5
Source: RefSeq, a predicted model, not a curated record
GGCUGACCACUGAGGAGGGAGGAUGCACUUUACAGGCUCCAGCCUGGGAGCUGCUGAAGCCCCAGACUGCAGAAGCCAGAGGCACCAAGACCCAAGCGGAUACCCAGUGUUUGUCGUGGUCCAAGAGAGGUGCUGAGCCAGCAUGCAAGCAGCGGCUGUUCUACUUCUUCUACUGGUGGAGAGGCCUCUACAGGGCGCCCUCCCCUACGUGAGUGACCUGACGGGGAACAGAUCCUUCAGGGCUGGGCAGUAAAGGAAGCCCAGGGAGGGAGACCAGCACACAGCCUUGGACCCACAGAGAAGCCAGUCUUGGAGGAAAGCCUGCCCUCUCAGACAGGGGCCAGAAGACCAGGACCAGGAAAGAAUCAGGGCCAGUGAAGCCUAGCAGAACAACCCACCAAGGGCAGCAGCUGAACAGGAGCAGAAGGGGGCCUGAGACAGGCUGAGCGGGCUGGGGAACCCAACAGAAAUGGCGCUGGAGGCCGCUGUGCGGAGAGCGAAUCUCAGCCCAUGGAAGCGGAUGACAUGGCACUGUUGGCCAGCCCUUGGGGAUUGCAAAGGUCAGUGACAGAGCCAGGAAUGGAACCAGCUCUCCCAACUCGCCAGCCUGUCCCAUAACCACAAGACAGUGCCUCUCCUCCCCUUGUUACCCCGAUCACCUUCCACAGAGUGCCACAGGAUCUUUAACACCUGAGGAAGCCGUGGGGCCUGGUCUCCCUCUUGCUCACCCCAGUUUUAUACGCCUAUAAAUGCAGUGACUCCGGCGGUUCUGGCUGCUGAUUCACACCAGUCUGAACUCUGUCAGGCCGGGGGCUAUUACAUUAGUUCUAGCUGGCUGAAGGAGCUCUGGGGAAAGAGAUGCUGAAAGGCCAGGACAGCGGCUGCAGGAGUACCAAAGAAAGCAGAGCUGCAGCAGCCCCUCAUGAUGCAGAAAAGAACUCCCCGAUCAUCUGGCGGCUGAGGCCCUUGCGCUGGAGCAGGAAAUGUGCCACCCCGAUGGGCGUGUCCGGGAUGAAACCCCGAGAGAUCAGGAACUGGAUCCCUUUGUCUGGAUUUCUGGAAGAGAAGGACAGGGACGGUGAGCCGGACACUCCCUUCGGGGAACCGUUGCCUCUGGAAGGAGUCCCCUUGGGGAAUCCUCCCCCACAUUCCUCCCAUUAAUGUGCAUGCUAGCGACUGGCCUGGUUGUGGGGCAGGGGCAAGGCCAGCAGCGGAUCCAUCCAGCCUGCAGGGGGGGAGCCUCACCCGGUCCCUCAUGUCACAGGUUAAGGGGGUAAAAAUGGUUCUGAUUACAAGGACAGAAGCAUCCAUGGUACCUGUCCAGCUGGUGUGCCACUCCGUGGGGCAGCCUUGACUACUCAGACUGGGGCCUCUGCAGAGACUGUGAAUGCACUGAGAACCUAGUUAUGAGGACACAGCCUAAACAGGCCAUAACCUUCCCUGCAGCCCCCAGCCCAGAGCAGCUGUGUGUGUUGUGUCAGUAAGUUUGUGUCUCUGUCUGCUUAGGGAGCUCUCUGAGAGUUGCACGUGUGUGACUCUGCAAGUGCUUGUGCCUGAGUGUGUGGUGUUUGUGUGCGCCUCUGCAUGUGUCUUCGUAUGCAUGAGCAUCUCUGAGAUCAUGUGUGUUUCUGUGCGCAAAUAUACACGAUGCCUGUGUCACCCAUGUGUGUUUGUGUGUGUGUGCCUCUGGGUGUAGGUGUUUCUAUGUGGCCCUUUGUUUGUGUGAGCGUGUCUGUGAGUAUGCAUGGCACACAGGGGUGUACUGAAGGUUUGCAUGUAUCUCUUUUGUCCCUACUCCCCUACCCCUCUGGCAGGCUGUCACCUGUGAUGCGCUCUAGCAAACCGCGCUCUGGCUGUCAGUCAGAUGCACAGGGGAAUCAGCAAACGCUGAGAUGAUUUCCUAAUUCGUCCUGAUUCUCCAAUCCAGGGUGGUUGGUGCUUCCUCGUGAAGGACGCAAGAAUGUCCCAUUUCUAUCAUUAGCCCACCGGGGAAUUUUGCAAAGGCUUAAUGAAUGAAUUUGCACAAGCAGCUUCCUGGGAGAAACAGCACAGUACACAGUAGCACAUGAGUGCUUGAUUCCUCCGUGACUUCCACUGCUCAGAUCUACCGGGUGAUUAGGGACUGUGCAAACAACUCAUCCGUACCCAGGAUGGAGCAGCAUGCCAGACAGUGCAUUGUCCCUUGUAGGAGUGCCCCAUGGGGCAUACAAGAGUGCAUGUACCAGAAAUAUACCACGGAAUUACAUGAACAGAAUGAGCUGAAAAUUGAUGAAGUGAUAAUCCUAAUGGAAAAACAGCAACUCAGCCCAUUCAGUAUGCAUGUGGGAGUUUGGUCAAAUACCCCAGCGAAAAACCCAGGCUCCCUUACCCUAUUAAGCGCUACUUAACACAUCAUGUACAUCGGGCAAAAUGCACUUGCCAUGCUACCCCACAAGGCUCAUAUGUCACCUUUGAAGAGUCAGUGUAAAGAACACUACCAAACACAAGCAUCACAAGGGCUUGUGUGUGUGUGUAGAAUUCAAAUUCAGAAGUGAAAGGGUUUGGAAAGUGCACCCGCAAAUGCACCUCUGGGGCAUCUCAGCAGAUGCCCAAAUGCCAGGGGCUGAUCUCAGCUACAGGUGCAAAUUCAGAGUAAUUCCACUGAAGCCAGUGGGUUUACUCUGGAUUUACCUCAGUGUACCUGAGAGCUGAAUGUGGCCUGCGAAUGGAACUGUCAUACCAUGGGGAUGGAUGCACAGGUUGGGGCGUGGGGGGAAGGAUGGUGCAGGAAAAGUAAUAAACAGGAAGAUGUAAAAUAAAAUACCCCUCUCUACCCCCUGUCUCCCUUUAAUUUACAUUUCACCAUUUCCACACUCCCUUGGCUGCAACUAGAAGAUAAUAUGAUGUACACACUCAAGACUCCCUUUAACUAAAAAGGAGCUUUCCCCCUGCUUUUGCCAGGGGCAGAAUUUGUUCCCCAUAAAAUACCAAUAGGUGUGAUGCACUCUCAACUAGCACAGUGACUGAAUGCCACACAACUGAAUACUGUGCUCUGUGCCCCUUACCUUAAUUUAUUUUAUCCACGUUAUGUAUCUUACAUCUCCACUUACAUCACUUCUGACUUUGGCCCCUGGCAUUCUCCUCUGUCCCUGAGAAGCUAAGCGUAGCCAGUAUGUGUUGUGGGAUUCCUACAGUCCUGCUGGCUUUCCCUCCACCGACGCAGCUAGCUGCCCACACGCAAACACAGUUUUUAGAGCAACACUGCAUCAUAAGGUACUCUCCGGUCCAGGAAUUCCACCCCUUCGCUGUGGAGUGUGCCACAGGAUAAAUGCAAUCACUACGUUCCCAGGGGCCAGUUCCAAUCCACAAUAUCACUUGCUGAAAACUCAGAUGGGGACUAAAUAGCACAGCGAGAUUGCUAAUAGACAGUCGAGCCUUUCACUUUUCACUCAGGCUAGUGGUGACCAAACAUCAAUACUGUUCAAUGGCACUCUAUGAAAUGGGUUUGCUGCGCUCAGUCUAGUUUCUAGUGGGCAGUGUCCACAUCACUAUAAAUACCAAUCAAGUGGUCUCUUUGCUGGAAGUCUCAGAAGGGAGGCUACGGACUGCAUGGGCUAUAUGAACUGAACUGCCUUCUCAGCCCCAGAGACAGACCCCUUUGGGGCUCACUGGUGUGUCUAUGCAGAAGAAGCUUGUCCUACUCUGCUCUUUCUGCACAAGUGCUGGGGAUAAACAGAAGACUUCACUCUCCCAGACUGACAAGCUGGCACCUUUCCUCUCCCCAGCUAAAUGUCUUUCCGAAAAAACUGACUCUAACAGGUGACAGGCGUGAGACUGGUCACAAGAGGGUGGAAGGCGUGGCCAGGAGAAUGUGGUUCUGAAUAAUGCGUAUUUGACAUAACUCCAGUCACACAGAGACCAAAGACAUGUGGUGAGUCUGGGUCAGCAAGUGGAAGAAGAUCAAAGCAGUCAACAAGC